This 2904-nucleotide ribosomal RNA is filed under the name Escherichia coli. Its description in RNAcentral is "23S ribosomal RNA". It matches the Rfam family "Bacterial large subunit ribosomal RNA". The record is from RNAcentral. Lineage: Bacteria; Pseudomonadati; Pseudomonadota; Gammaproteobacteria; Enterobacterales; Enterobacteriaceae.
GGUUAAGCGACUAAGCGUACACGGUGGAUGCCCUGGCAGUCAGAGGCGAUGAAGGACGUGCUAAUCUGCGAUAAGCGUCGGUAAGGUGAUAUGAACCGUUAUAACCGGCGAUUUCCGAAUGGGGAAACCCAGUGUGUUUCGACACACUAUCAUUAACUGAAUCCAUAGGUUAAUGAGGCGAACCGGGGGAACUGAAACAUCUAAGUACCCCGAGGAAAAGAAAUCAACCGAGAUUCCCCCAGUAGCGGCGAGCGAACGGGGAGCAGCCCAGAGCCUGAAUCAGUGUGUGUGUUAGUGGAAGCGUCUGGAAAGGCGCGCGAUACAGGGUGACAGCCCCGUACACAAAAAUGCACAUGCUGUGAGCUCGAUGAGUAGGGCGGGACACGUGGUAUCCUGUCUGAAUAUGGGGGGACCAUCCUCCAAGGCUAAAUACUCCUGACUGACCGAUAGUGAACCAGUACCGUGAGGGAAAGGCGAAAAGAACCCCGGCGAGGGGAGUGAAAAAGAACCUGAAACCGUGUACGUACAAGCAGUGGGAGCACGCUUAGGCGUGUGACUGCGUACCUUUUGUAUAAUGGGUCAGCGACUUAUAUUCUGUAGCAAGGUUAACCGAAUAGGGGAGCCGAAGGGAAACCGAGUCUUAACUGGGCGUUAAGUUGCAGGGUAUAGACCCGAAACCCGGUGAUCUAGCCAUGGGCAGGUUGAAGGUUGGGUAACACUAACUGGAGGACCGAACCGACUAAUGUUGAAAAAUUAGCGGAUGACUUGUGGCUGGGGGUGAAAGGCCAAUCAAACCGGGAGAUAGCUGGUUCUCCCCGAAAGCUAUUUAGGUAGCGCCUCGUGAAUUCAUCUCCGGGGGUAGAGCACUGUUUCGGCAAGGGGGUCAUCCCGACUUACCAACCCGAUGCAAACUGCGAAUACCGGAGAAUGUUAUCACGGGAGACACACGGCGGGUGCUAACGUCCGUCGUGAAGAGGGAAACAACCCAGACCGCCAGCUAAGGUCCCAAAGUCAUGGUUAAGUGGGAAACGAUGUGGGAAGGCCCAGACAGCCAGGAUGUUGGCUUAGAAGCAGCCAUCAUUUAAAGAAAGCGUAAUAGCUCACUGGUCGAGUCGGCCUGCGCGGAAGAUGUAACGGGGCUAAACCAUGCACCGAAGCUGCGGCAGCGACGCUUAUGCGUUGUUGGGUAGGGGAGCGUUCUGUAAGCCUGUGAAGGUGUGCUGUGAGGCAUGCUGGAGGUAUCAGAAGUGCGAAUGCUGACAUAAGUAACGAUAAAGCGGGUGAAAAGCCCGCUCGCCGGAAGACCAAGGGUUCCUGUCCAACGUUAAUCGGGGCAGGGUGAGUCGACCCCUAAGGCGAGGCCGAAAGGCGUAGUCGAUGGGAAACAGGUUAAUAUUCCUGUACUUGGUGUUACUGCGAAGGGGGGACGGAGAAGGCUAUGUUGGCCGGGCGACGGUUGUCCCGGUUUAAGCGUGUAGGCUGGUUUUCCAGGCAAAUCCGGAAAAUCAAGGCUGAGGCGUGAUGACGAGGCACUACGGUGCUGAAGCAACAAAUGCCCUGCUUCCAGGAAAAGCCUCUAAGCAUCAGGUAACAUCAAAUCGUACCCCAAACCGACACAGGUGGUCAGGUAGAGAAUACCAAGGCGCUUGAGAGAACUCGGGUGAAGGAACUAGGCAAAAUGGUGCCGUAACUUCGGGAGAAGGCACGCUGAUAUGUAGGUGAGGUCCCUUGCGGAUGGAGCUGAAAUCAGUCGAAGAUACCAGCUGGCUGCAACUGUUUAUUAAAAACACAGCACUGUGCAAACACGAAAGUGGACGUAUACGGUGUGACGCCUGCCCGGUGCCGGAAGGUUAAUUGAUGGGGUCAGCGCAAGCGAAGCUCUUGAUCGAAGCCCCGGUAAACGGCGGCCGUAACUAUAACGGUCCUAAGGUAGCGAAAUUCCUUGUCGGGUAAGUUCCGACCUGCACGAAUGGCGUAAUGAUGGCCAGGCUGUCUCCACCCGAGACUCAGUGAAAUUGAACUCGCUGUGAAGAUGCAGUGUACCCGCGGCAAGACGGAAAGACCCCGUGAACCUUUACUAUAGCUUGACACUGAACAUUGAGCCUUGAUGUGUAGGAUAGGUGGGAGGCUUUGAAGUGUGGACGCCAGUCUGCAUGGAGCCGACCUUGAAAUACCACCCUUUAAUGUUUGAUGUUCUAACGUUGACCCGUAAUCCGGGUUGCGGACAGUGUCUGGUGGGUAGUUUGACUGGGGCGGUCUCCUCCUAAAGAGUAACGGAGGAGCACGAAGGUUGGCUAAUCCUGGUCGGACAUCAGGAGGUUAGUGCAAUGGCAUAAGCCAGCUUGACUGCGAGCGUGACGGCGCGAGCAGGUGCGAAAGCAGGUCAUAGUGAUCCGGUGGUUCUGAAUGGAAGGGCCAUCGCUCAACGGAUAAAAGGUACUCCGGGGAUAACAGGCUGAUACCGCCCAAGAGUUCAUAUCGACGGCGGUGUUUGGCACCUCGAUGUCGGCUCAUCACAUCCUGGGGCUGAAGUAGGUCCCAAGGGUAUGGCUGUUCGCCAUUUAAAGUGGUACGCGAGCUGGGUUUAGAACGUCGUGAGACAGUUCGGUCCCUAUCUGCCGUGGGCGCUGGAGAACUGAGGGGGGCUGCUCCUAGUACGAGAGGACCGGAGUGGACGCAUCACUGGUGUUCGGGUUGUCAUGCCAAUGGCACUGCCCGGUAGCUAAAUGCGGAAGAGAUAAGUGCUGAAAGCAUCUAAGCACGAAACUUGCCCCGAGAUGAGUUCUCCCUGACCCUUUAAGGGUCCUGAAGGAACGUUGAAGACGACGACGUUGAUAGGCCGGGUGUGUAAGCGCAGCGAUGCGUUGAGCUAACCGGUACUAAUGAACCGUGAGGCUUAACCUU